RNAcentral lists this long non-coding RNA (622 nucleotides) under Homo sapiens (human). Its description in RNAcentral is "HSALNT0151011". Lineage: Eukaryota; Metazoa; Chordata; Mammalia; Primates; Hominidae. The record is from RNAcentral.
CUUCCUCCAGAGAAUCUCAUCAUCAAGCUAGGAUAGAGACUAGGGGGUGCACUCUCUGCCCAGCCUGAAAAUGAGGGACGUGAAAUUCGCAAACAUAAAUGUUGGCCAAUAGGAUCAUUGGAUCCUUCAUCUAGCCCCUGGCAGCCUAAGACAGUUACCCUACAUUACUGGGAGAAAAGCAUGAAGACUCAGACUUGACACUGACCUCUAGUAGCAGGCAGUUUGUUGCAAAUUUAACAACUAUGCAGAACGUGGUUGUCAUAGCCUUGCCAGCUGCACUAGGUGUCACUGUGUGAACUUCUACUGAAUGAAAGAAUAAAAAAGGAAGAGAGAAGAAAGAGAUAGGGUCACAGCAGCCUUGAACUCCUGGGCUCAAGUGAUACUCCAGCCUCAGCCCCCUGGGUAGCUGGGAUUACAGGUACCAACCACCACGCCUAGCUGUGGGUCACCAUUUAAAAACUGCUGGGCAUGAAGGUCACGAUCAUUUGAGGAAAGAUCAAAGGAAGAACCUUUUAAACUAACUUACCGAGCUUUAUAUUGACCUCUUCUAAUCAGAGCACAAAAGAAACCUGGACCAUGGAAAAGUAUGUGCAUCGUAUAAUGCAAGGGCAAGGGAGAGGUA